This 1343-nucleotide ribosomal RNA is filed under the name uncultured bacterium. Its description in RNAcentral is "16S ribosomal RNA". It matches the Rfam family "Bacterial small subunit ribosomal RNA", at positions 28 to 1378 of the family's 1533-position model. The record is from RNAcentral.
GACGAACGCUUGCGGCGUGCUUAACACAUGCAAGUCGAACGGAAAGGCCCUGCUUUUGUGGGGUGCUCGAGUGGCGAACGGGUGAGUAACACGUGAGUAACCUGCCCUUGACUUUGGGAUAACUUCAGGAAACUGGGGCUAAUACCGGAUAGGAGCUCCUGCUGCAUGGUGGGGGUUGGAAAGUUUCGGCGGUUGGGGAUGGACUCGCGGCUUAUCAGCUUGUUGGUGGGGUAGUGGCUUACCAAGGCUUUGACGGGUAGCCGGCCUGAGAGGGUGACCGGCCACAUUGGGACUGAGAUACGGCCCAGACUCCUACGGGAGGCAGCAGUGGGGAAUAUUGCACAAUGGGCGGAAGCCUGAUGCAGCAACGCCGCGUGCGGGAUGACGGCCUUCGGGUUGUAAACCGCUUUCGCCUGUGACGAAGCGUGAGUGACGGUAAUGGGUAAAGAAGCACCGGCUAACUACGUGCCAGCAGCCGCGGUGAUACGUAGGGUGCGAGCGUUGUCCGGAUUUAUUGGGCGUAAAGGGCUCGUAGGUGGUUGAUCGCGUCGGAAGUGUAAUCUUGGGGCUUAACCCUGAGCGUGCUUUCGAUACGGGUUGACUUGAGGAAGGUAGGGGAGAAUGGAAUUCCUGGUGGAGCGGUGGAAUGCGCAGAUAUCAGGAGGAACACCAGUGGCGAAGGCGGUUCUCUGGGCCUUUCCUGACGCUGAGGAGCGAAAGCGUGGGGAGCGAACAGGCUUAGAUACCCUGGUAGUCCACGCUGUAAACGGUGGGUACUAGGUGUGGGGUCCAUUCCACGGGUUCCGUGCCGUAGCUAACGCUUUAAGUACCCCGCCUGGGGAGUACGGCCGCAAGGCUAGAACUCAAAGGAAUUGACGGGGCCCCGCACAAGCGGCGGAGCAUGCGGAUUAAUUCGAUGCAACGCGUAGAACCUUACCUGGGUUUGACAUGGAUCGGGAGUGCUCAGAGAUGGGUGUGCCUCUUUUGGGGUCGGUUCACAGGUGGUGCAUGGCUGUCGUCAGCUCGUGUCGUGAGAUGUUGGGUUAAGUCCCGCAACGAGCGCAACCCUUGUUCACUGUUGCCAGCACGUUAUGGUGGGGACUCAGUGGAGACCGCCGGGGUCAACUCGGAGGAAGGUGGGGAUGACGUCAAGUCAUCAUGCCCCUUAUGUCCAGGGCUUCACGCAUGCUACAAUGGCUGGUACAGAGAGUGGCGAGCCUGUGAGGGUGAGCGAAUCUCGGAAAGCCGGUCUCAGUUCGGAUUGGGGUCUGCAACUUGACCUCAUGAAGUCGGAGUCGCUAGUAAUCGCAGAUCAGCAACGCUGCGGUGAAUACGUUCCCGGG